Solanum dulcamara is the source of this 852-nucleotide long non-coding RNA. RefSeq lists it as uncharacterized. The record is from RefSeq and is a predicted model, not a curated record. Lineage: Eukaryota; Viridiplantae; Streptophyta; Magnoliopsida; Solanales; Solanaceae. The transcript is spliced from 3 exons.
CAACCCAAAUCCGUAAAAAUCACCUACAUCUACAUUCCCUUUCUAUUCAUCCAAAUGCCCAACCCUAGACAGCAGCUGAGCAGCUUCUUCCAAAUUUCUCAUCCAAAGCGGCAAAGCCUGUGAUUUCUCCAUGUUAAUUUCUGAUUCUGCUCCAUCUUCGUACGGUCGUACCUCCUUCUUCUUCUUCUUUCGCGAGUGCAUUAAUGCUAUUUAUGUAUUGGAUUGCAAAUUUUGUGGUGCCAAAGUUCAUCUUAAAGGAUCUUCAAGAUGACAGUACUAACAACAAUAACAAGACUGAUGAAAAAGAUGUUCUAUGAACAUUAGCUACAAAGCACAAGAUUCCCUCGUUCUUGAUUUGUAAUCGCAAGAUGCCUCAGGUUAAGACAUUGUUGACAAAAAUAUGGCCAAGCAUCACCCUGACUUGAUCAUGUGCAGGAAGCAGCCAGGAAUAGCUAUUGAGCGUCUUUGCGAAAAAUGUGAUGUACAGAAUCUUGUUAUCCAUAAGAUUGGUCUGCUGGAUCAUACUGUUAAACUAACAUGAUAAUCAUCUCGUCAUUGUUAUUCUUGAUGCAUUCUUUUGAAGAAAACCAUGAUAAACUGCAGCAUCUUUUGAAGAAAACCAAGAAAAUAGAACAGCAGCUUCCAUUGGUAGGUUACCCUCAGUGACGUUUUGCCAGUUUCUGUAAUGCCGGGAUUUUCAUCAUUGGAGUUAUAUGCGUCGUUGAAGUUGGGAGAUUUUGAAUAAGCCAUAAUGUACAUAUCUUUUAUAAUUAGUUUGAGACUCAGUUGUAUUCGAUCCAUUGUUUAGUUUGUUAUUAAAAAUCCUCACAUCUCUUAUUAUUGCUAUUGUGA